Strigops habroptila (Kakapo) is the source of this 6849-nucleotide RNA transcript. It is a transcript of the gene named ELKS/RAB6-interacting/CAST family member 2, with no coding region annotated. The record is from RefSeq and is a predicted model, not a curated record. The transcript has 23 exons. NCBI's taxonomy places the organism in Eukaryota, Metazoa, Chordata, Aves, Psittaciformes, Psittacidae.
GGGAAUGCUGGGAAUGUUGAGUCAGGGACCGGCAGACCAGGCAGGCAAGGCUCGCAGCUGGCUGAGGGAGACUCGCUGAGGGACGGAAAGACGAGGGACAGGAGCACACAAGCCUCUCCCGGCUGCAGCAGGUCCCCUCUUCCUCCCCUCGCGGGUGUUCGGUUGCUCCGGCUCGCCCUGCUGCCUCCUUCCUCCGCGCAAAUGAGGUGUCAGCUAAACGUGAUGUUGUAAAAAUCCAUGUGAGGACGAGACACGGAGGCAAUGAUUUGAAAGCGAUUGAUUUCUAGGCGGCUACCUGCUAAGCCUUGUGAUGGAUGGAUGGGAAUCUACUCCCUUAGCGGCGAAUUGAUAUUUCCCUUUUGAUGGACACACCAACCGACCACUUGCAUUGGCAGAUCCAAGCUCGUUGCAAAUAAGCACGGCCAAUAAGUGCAGUCAGGAGGAGGGCGAAUCCUACUUGUCAGGGUCUCUGACUUUGGAGGAACAACAGAUUUUUGUCUACUGGAAGAAUGCAGUGAAACUGCCAACAUUUCUAGCUGGAAUUAUAAAUUUAAUAUUCAACUUUACUGUUCCUAAUUUCUUACUAAAUAGUACCUCAAAGUAGAAGAAAAAUGUACGGAAGUGCAAGAACAAUCAGCAACUUAGAAGGAAGUCCCUCCAGGUCUCCUCGUUUGCCAAGAUCCCCUCGCCUGGGCCAUAGGCGAACAAAUAGUGGAGGAGGAGGAGGAACAGGUAAGACGUUAUCAAUGGAGAACAUCCAGUCCCUUAAUGCAGCCUAUGCAACAUCUGGACCAAUGUAUCUGAGUGACCAUGAAGGUGUAGCUUCUACUACUUUCCCAAAGGGCACAAUGACUCUUGGAAGGGCUACAAAUCGAGCUAUGUAUGGUGGUCGAGUCACAGCUAUGGGGAGCAGUCCUAAUAUUGCUUCAGCUGGACUUUCGCACACAGAUGUCCUUUCUUAUACUGAUCAACAUGGAGGUCUGACCACAUCUUCACACCAUCACCACCAUCAGAUUCCUUCUAUGCUGAGACAGGUUAGGGAUAGUACCAUGUUAGACUUGCAGGCUCAGCUUAAGGAACUACAGAGGGAGAAUGAUCUUCUCAGAAAAGAACUAGACAUUAAGGACAGCAAGCUGGGAUCCUCCAUGAACAGCAUCAAAACUUUCUGGAGUCCUGAGCUGAAGAAAGAAAGAGUACUGAGGAAAGAAGAAGCAGCCAGAAUGUCAGUUCUUAAAGAACAAAUGAGAGUUUCCCAUGAAGAAAAUCAGUUUUUGGAUGCCAGGAGAACAAAGCAUCUGCAAAUGACAAUCCAGGCACUUCAAGAUGAGCUUAGAACCCAGAGAGACCUUAACCAUCUUCUCCAGCAGGAAAGUGGAAACCGAGGAGCUGAGCAUUUUACCAUUGAGCUCACAGAGGAGAAUUUUCGAAGACUUCAAGCAGAACAUGAUAGACAAGCUAAAGAGCUAUUCCUGUUGAGAAAAACACUAGAAGAAAUGGAGCUUAGGAUUGAAACACAAAAGCAAACACUAAAUGCACGAGAUGAAUCAAUAAAGAAGCUUCUGGAAAUGUUGCAAAGUAAAGGUUUGCCAUCUAAAGGAAUGGAAGAUGACAAUGAGAGAACUCGAAGGAUGGCGGAGGCUGAAUCUCAGGUUAAUCAUUUAGAAGUGAUUUUAGAUCAGAAGGAAAAGGAAAACAUGCAUCUUAGAGAGGAAUUACACAGAAGAACCCAGCUUCAGCCUGAGCCAGCAAAGACGAAGGCUCUUCAAACAGUUAUUGAAAUGAAGGAUACAAAAAUAGCUUCACUUGAGCGCAAUAUAAGAGAUCUUGAAGAUGAAAUACAAAUGUUAAAGACUAAUGGAGUUCUGAAUACAGAGGACCGAGAAGAAGAAAUCAAGCAAAUAGAAGUUUACAAGAGUCACUCAAAGUUCAUGAAAAAUAAGAUUGACCAAUUGAAACAAGAACUCUCAAAGAAAGAAUCAGAACUUCUUGCCUUACAAACUAAGCUUGAAACCCUUAGCAAUCAGAAUUCAGAUUGCAAGCAACACAUUGAAGUGCUUAAAGAGUCACUUACUGCCAAAGAACAGAGAGCUGCCAUACUUCAGACAGAGGUUGAUGCCUUGCGAUUACGAUUGGAAGAAAAAGAAACCUUUCUGAAUAAAAAAACAAAACAACUUCAAGACCUCACAGAAGAGAAAGGAACCCUGGCUGGAGAGAUCCGAGAUAUGAAAGACAUGUUGGAAGUAAAAGAAAGAAAAAUUAAUGUCCUUCAGAAAAAGAUUGAAAAUCUACAGGAGCAACUUAGGGACAAAGACAAACAACUAACUAAUCUAAAAGACAGAGUGAAGUCGUUGCAGACGGAUUCUAGUAACACAGACACAGCACUAGCAACCUUAGAAGAAGCUCUAUCAGAAAAGGAAAGAAUAAUAGAGCGCUUGAAGGAGCAAAGGGAGCGAGAUGACAGAGAAAGACUUGAAGAAAUUGAAUCUUAUAAAAAAGAAAACAAAGACCUGAAGGAGAAAGUUAAUGCUUUACAAGCUGAACUGACAGAAAAAGAGUCUAGUUUAAUCGAUCUCAAAGAACAUGCAUCUUCAUUGGCAUCAGCAGGGCUGAAAAGAGACUCCAAACUUAAGUCUUUAGAAAUAGCCAUAGAACAAAAGAAAGAAGAGUGUAGUAAGUUGGAAGCACAGUUGAAAAAGCAAGCUGAACAGUUGUUCAAUCAGAUGUACAAUCCAAUGCCAAUUAGGAAUAAUGGGAAGCAAGGGGCUCAUGAGGCUGAAGAGGAGGCACGGAUGAAUCCAGAAUUUGCAGACAGAAUGAAACAGCUUGACAAAGAAGCAUCAUACUAUAGAGAAGAAUGUGGCAAAGCUCAGGCUGAGGUUGACAGACUUCUAGAAAUACUCAAGGAAGUAGAGAAUGAGAAGAAUGACAAAGAUAAGAAAAUUGCUGAGUUAGAAAGCUUGACUUCCAGACAUAUGAAGGACCAGAACAAGAAAGUUGCCAAUCUGAAGCACAAUCAGCAAAUGGAGAAAAAGAAGAAUGCACAGUUGUUGGAAGAAGUUCGUAGGCGGGAGGACAAUAUGACUGACAAUGCUCAACAUUUACAAGUAGAAGAGCUGAUGAAUGCACUGGAAAAGACUAGACAAGAAUUAGAUUCUACCAAAGCACGUCUUGCCUCAACACAGCAGUCUUUGGCUGAAAAAGAAGCACAUCUGGCUAACCUGAGAAUAGAGCGAAGAAAACAGCUUGAAGAAAUUCUAGAAAUGAAACAAGAAGCUUUGCUUGCUGCAAUUAGUGAAAAAGAUGCAAACAUUGCCUUGCUUGAACUGUCUGCUUCAAAGAAAAAGAAGACUCAAGAGGAAGUAAUGGCUCUUAAACGAGAGAAGGACAGAUUAGUACAUCAGUUAAAACAGCAGACACAAAACAGAAUGAAACUGAUGGCAGAUAACUACGAUGAUGACCAUCACCACUACCACCACCAUCACCACCACCACCAUCAUCGAUCUCCUGGGAGGCCACAACACUCCAACCACAGACCCUCUCCAGAUCAGGAUGACGAGGAGGGUAUAUGGGCAUAGCCGUUCCUAUAAACCAAAGUUCCAGUUUUGUUUUGAGGGAUGAUCCAGUCACUGUUGGAGGCACAUAGCCACGGCAAAAUCUCAUGCUGUACAUUGAUCACCUGUCCAACCUUUGCCUAGAGUGUGAUCCCCAGUUCCUUCAAGAGAUCCAUCUUUACCUGUCUAUAAGGAAGAAGAGGAGGAGGGAGACAUCUGGGAUAUUCAAGUAUCAAAGUUUAACACCAGAGCAGUUGUCAGAGGAACUAGUGAAAGAGGAAGAAAAAAAUGUAGCACUGGAAGGUAACAAUGAUAAUCUAUUGCAUUGGAUCUCCAAACAUGACCAUGAUAUCCUGGAGAAGAUCACAGAUGCAGAAAAUGAAUGCUGAGGUUGAUAUCUAAUGAAAUGCUGCAUUAAUUGGCAUUUUCUCCAUUAUUUCUUGUAGUCUACUAUGAAAUUAGAUACUUUGGAAAACAAUUAAGGAGACUCAAGCAGAAAUCACAAGAGCUUCAUUUCUGUUUUUAAUGGGUCUUGCAAGUUAUUUUGUUUUCACAAAAGAAACCAUCUGUUCAGAAUAUUAUAGUUUAAUGAAGUUCAGUUAAACAGGUUAUUUAAUUUUUUGUAAAUGUAUAUUGAUUUUAAUAAGUAAUUCACAUUCUCUUAGAUGUGGUAUCUGCAUUUGCUGAUUCUAAAGUAUCAGUUCUAUUGCACUAGAUUAUCAAAGAGGUAUUAGUAAAAUGCUGUAUAAGGGUGUUGGCAUUAAUCUUACCCCCAGUUAGAUGCGGGCUUUUCCAAAAAAUAAAACCCAAGCCUUUACCCUCCUCUGUUUUCUUAUAUCUACCGAUAAAAUAAUAAUACUAAAAAAAAAAAAAAACCAACCCAACAACCAAAACCAACCAACCAACCAACCAAAAACAAACCAAAAACCAAAAAACAUCGAUAGUAUAACCGGUAUUAAGCUCUGGGCCAGGUUGGAAAUGAAAUCAAUUUUUGGUACUAAUAACUGAUAACAAAGAUUAACUUUAUGAAAAUAUGGUGUGUGUCUCUGACAAUGCAUAGGACAUCUAAUUUGAGCAUAAAUGUAAGAUUAUAUACAAGAUGUAUCUAUUCCUGGAUGGUAAAAGCUUGAGGCAUAUAUAAAUAAUAUGAAUGUAUAUAUAUGGACAUAUACACAAGGAUGUAUCAACCUUUUACCAUCCAAAUGCAUACAGGUUUUCAACAAUAAAAGCUGGGACUCUAAAAAAAAAAAAAAAGAAAAAAAAGGAAAAAAAAAAUAACAAAAAUAAAGAUAAAGAUAAGAUUGCUGUGAAUACAGUAUAUGCACUAGGUCUCUUGUAAAUGAGGAACUGUUUGUUAUUGUUUUCUACAUUGGAAAACAGUCUCCAACACGGAUCCCAAUGAAUCUUAGAUGUUAAAGAAAAUACCAAUGAACAAAUAGCAUUUAAAGGCUGUUUGUAUCAAAAAAAAAAAAAAAAAAAAGUAUCUAGUAAAAGAAAUGUAAAGCACAUGCAAGGAAAAAUCAAAAUGUGAAGUCAUUACAUUGAGUGAGAGAUUAUAACUGACAGUCAAAUCUCUACCACUUCUCAAGGAGAGGAUCCUGAUGACUCCAUGAACAUUUUCAGUCAGUCUAGCAAACAUGUGCAUGUUUGCUGUUUUAUUGAGGUAUCUUUGUGUCCAUGGAAGAAAUGCUUCCAUGCUGAUGGGAGUGGGAAUUGAAUAUCUGCAUUUUUAAAGGACAAACAAUAAAUUUAAGCAUGGGUGGCCUUAAUCCUUAGUAGUUUUUCUUUGCUGCUGUAAAAGAGAGAAAUCUAAAUGGAUACUCCUAAAGUCUUGCACUGAAUUUAGAAAAAUUAUUUUUUGAACCUGUGGUGCAAUUAUCCCUAAACAUCCUACAUGAGCCAUACAUAGUAACCCCUUUCAAAUUAUUGUCUAGAGAUGAUAUUUUAUUUAUUUGUACCAUAAUUCUUGGUGCAAUCAAAGAGCAAUUUAUUCAAGCAGGAGUCUUGCUGGAUGCUACUGUCUUCAGUAAAUAGAGUAAAAUGCAUAAAAUUAGUAUAGCAUGGAUAAUCCCAAUUUCAUUCAUGUUUAAAAAGUUUGUCCUUUAACUAUCAAUGGCAUUUUAGAUCUUUGUUUUUGAAACAGCAAAGCUUUUGGGAGUUUAUUUAGCACACAUGACAAAUGUUGCACUUGGAAACUCAGACAACAAAACUAGUUUCUCAUGACAAAUUUGUUGUCGCAGUAGGGGACAAUCGUCUGUGUCUCUUACAAUCAGGUCUUUACCUUAAUUCUGCAACUGAAUACUUGAAGUAGGAAAUAAACUAGGGGGGAAAUAGGGUCACAGGUACAAAGCUGUAUAGCUAGAUAUUUAUAUGUAUGUGCCAAUUUUGUCACAGGUAUUAUUUUAGGGGCAUUUUUGCUCCACUCAUGUUGGUAAGAGUAUUGAUCUAAACUUUUAUCAGGGCCUACAAGUUAGCCCCUAAAGAGGAAAACUUUGUCUAACAUUGCUUUUUUUCUUUUCUUCUUUCUUUCUUUUUUUCUUUUUUCCUUUUCAUUUCAUGUGAUACUCUGUGCUGUUUGGAGAAAAUCUUUUCAUAUACGAAAAUAGAAUCUCGGGGUUUACAAUAAACACUGUGAUGUUGGGAAAUAUUUUAUUUGAGCAAUGUUUGGUAGGUUCCCCCCUUCCCCUUCUAAGUGUAAAGAAGCAAACUUUUGGUUAACAUUUAAGAUAAUUAUUAUUAUUUUAAUGUGAGAUCAGUCUUGUACUACACAUUCUUUAUUUCAUUUAAAUGUACAGUAUGAAUUUUGUAUUUAAUGAAUUUUGUGUAUCCAGUAUGCACGUACCUGCACAUUGCCUUUCAUUUGAAAGUGGGUUUCAAUUUACUUUUUAAACAGUGUUUAUGAAAAGACCUCAGAUGUGUUGACACAAACUAUAUCUGCAAUGUGUUUUUUGUGUGUGUAGGGUGAUGUUUGAAUGUGAUGUUCUGCAGCAAUGGGUCAGUAUUCCCUAUUUACCUUAGAUCCUCAUUUGAUAGUGCUUCUUAUAAUAAUUUUUUGAAGUGAGUGGCAUGUUCUGGAUUGUGAUAUUGAUAUAUGGUUAAGGACAUUGAUAUGAAACUAAGGAAUUCCUAGAAAUUACCAGUGGGCAUGUAUUAGACAGUCAUUGUAAUUUAAUGUCUGGUAGAAGUGUAAAGUACCAAGGUAUUUAGAGUUCAUAACAUUGUUAUCAUGUGUAUGGGAAGUAUUUAGUGUUGAUCAGCUUGUUUAUAUUCAUCAAAUAAACUUGGUUUCUUUCUGAAA